This 750-nucleotide unclassified non-coding RNA is filed under the name uncultured Prochlorococcus sp. RNAcentral's name for it is "partial contains 16S ribosomal RNA and 16S-23S ribosomal RNA intergenic spacer". The stretch from base 1 to 265 matches the Rfam family "Bacterial small subunit ribosomal RNA", at positions 1270 to 1533 of the family's 1533-position model. Lineage: Bacteria; Bacillati; Cyanobacteriota; Cyanophyceae; Synechococcales; Prochlorococcaceae. The record is from RNAcentral.
AAUCCCAUAAACCGUGGCUCAGUUCAGAUCGUAGGCUGCAACUCGCCUACGUGAAGUAGGAAUCGCUAGUAAUCGCAGGUCAGCAUACUGCGGUGAAUACGUUCCCGGGCCUUGUACACACCGCCCGUCACACCAUGGAAGUUGGCCAUGCCCGAAGUCGUUACUCCAACCCUUGUGGAGGAGGACGCCGAAGGUGGGGCUAAUGACUGGGGUGAAGUCGUAACAAGGUAGCCGUACCGGAAGGUGCGGCUGGAUCACCUCCUAACAGGGAGACAACAAAAUGUUUAAUAUUAUUAUUUUGUCACCUUAGGUCGAUCGGUAUCUCACGUUCUUAAUUUAUUAAGAAUUUCAUUUCCUAAGUUUUUCUAGGUCACACCCAUUAUUUUUCCUGGGCCAUUAGCUCAGGUGGUUAGAGCGCACCCCUGAUAAGGGUGAGGUCCCUGGUUCAAGUCCAGGAUGGCCCAUAUCUCUAUGUUGGGGGUAUAGCUCAGUUGGUAGAGCGCCUGCUUUGCAAGCAGGAUGUCAGCGGUUCGAGUCCGCUUACCUCCACUGAUUACCACCUCUUCCAUAUUUUAUAAAAAGGAAAUGUUUUGAGUUGUGAUCAAAUUCUGAACGAAUCUAGCUUCCUAAUGAAAUCAUUAAGAUGCUGGACUCAUUGAAUUAAUUUCAUUGUUUUCAGAGAACCUUGACAACUGCAUAGAUUAUUUUUAAAGACAAUAAGCAUCUUUGUGAUGCAGAUUUAUUAUUUGU